Molecule: long non-coding RNA, 286 nt
Organism: Lolium rigidum
Lineage: Eukaryota; Viridiplantae; Streptophyta; Magnoliopsida; Poales; Poaceae
Exons: 3
Source: RefSeq, a predicted model, not a curated record
CCAGCUCUCUCUCAAUCGGCAGAUCGGUGGUCGACUUGAUCUCCCGCCAUGGCUGUCCUGGCCCAAGCUCCGCUUCAAGUGGUUCAAAGAGAGAUGCUCCCCGUUCCGUACAACAAGUCAGCAGUAACACAGUGGUGGGUCCGCGUCGUCAGCGACUUAGUCUGUAUUCCCUGCGGUGAGAAAAGUUUUCACUCAGUCCUGCCUCAUCAGCGCCAGCCCAGCAUCCCUUGGUCCCGCAGCAUUUGCUUCUUCCCGGAUAGGAUCACGAAGUGGUGUGGUGAGAUAC